RNAcentral lists this ribosomal RNA (490 nucleotides) under uncultured bacterium. Its description in RNAcentral is "partial 16S ribosomal RNA". It matches the Rfam family "Bacterial small subunit ribosomal RNA", at positions 30 to 507 of the family's 1533-position model. The record is from RNAcentral.
AUUGAACGCUGGCGGCAGGCCUAACACAUGCAAGUCGAACGGUAACAGGAAGAAGCUUGCUUCUUUGCUGACGAGUGGCGGACGGGUGAGUAAUGUCUGGGAAACUGCCUGAUGGAGGGGGAUAACUACUGGAAACGGUAGCUAAUACCGCAUAACGUCGCAAGACCAAAAAGGGGGACCUUCGGGCCUCUUGCCAUCGGCUGUGCCCAGAUGGGAUUAGCUAGUAGGUGGGGUAACGGCUCACCUAGGCGACGAUCCCUAGCUGGUCUGAGAGGAUGACCAGCCACACUGGAACUGAGACACGGUCCAGACUCCUACGGGAGGCAGCAGUGGGGAAUAUUGCACAAUGGGCGCAAGCCUGAUGCAGCCAUGCCGCGUGUAUGAAGAAGGCCUUCGGGUUGUAAAGUACUUUCAGCGGGGGGGAAGGGAGUAAAGUUAAUACCUUUGCUCAUUGACGUUACCCGCAGAAGAAGCACCGGCUAACUCCGUG